This is a long non-coding RNA of Numida meleagris (helmeted guineafowl), 1472 nucleotides long. RefSeq lists it as uncharacterized. The record is from RefSeq and is a predicted model, not a curated record. The transcript has 4 exons. Lineage: Eukaryota; Metazoa; Chordata; Aves; Galliformes; Numididae.
GACUGAGUGAUACCUCUAUGUAACUUCAGUCUCAAAGGUGGAUUUGCUCCACAUUUUGUGCAUUUUGCGCUCUGUGCAGGUGACCGUAAAUGAAGUGCAACACAUGAAUGUAUUCCCCCUGAGAAAUGCAGUAAACUAUUUUGCUAUCAAGAGCAGUAAGAUUUCAUCAUACAGUGAAAUUGUUCUGAUUCUUUCCAGUAAAAGCGUCUGCAUAGGCUUUGGGAGGAAUUUUACAAAUGAAACACAUGGCUUCCAAGGAGUACAGUUGUUUCUGUGUUGGACCAUAGGGUGACGUUUCCCAGGUCCCAUAACUGCAGCAAAGCCAGCAAAACCCAUCAGCUAAGAUAAUUAUAGAGGAAUGUUAAAGGUGAUGCAAAGGCUCAAUGAGCUACUCUGGAGCUGUAUGCUGAAAUCCUACAGAGCUGGACUUGGAAGAGUCCACCUGGUGGGCUUGUCCAACUGCUGCCCAUCCUGUAAGGAUGAAGAGCACUGAGUGGGGAGUGCAAGCACCCUGUCCUCAGAGGAGUCACCUGACAGACUAUUCCUGGGCUGGGAUUCCCUUUGGCUGAUGUGAAAGCAGAAUGAUCGUUUUACUUUUAUUCCCAUACUACUUGAAUUUUCUGUUGGGCUUCUUCAGAGUUGUGUGCCCUGCUGGGAUGAUGUGUGAGUUUCUUUCUGAAGUUAUGUACUGUUGAUAUCUGUACUUUAAGUUUUAUUGGAUUGUCCUAUAGGUCACAUCACUAAGCAGAAUCUACACAGCCCUGGAUGCUGCAGCCCUGCCCAACACAUCCUCCCAAAGGUGAAAAUCUCAGAAAGCAGCGAUAUGGACAUCUUCACAUACAUAUGUGUUUGUGGAGGGGAUUAUCAGCCCCUCUUCUGUUUUUGCUCUUUUUAUCCAUGGAAUAGGACUUUGAACUAGAAUGUACUAAUCCUAGAUUUUUUUCUGGAAUAAAUACCUUUGUGAUUUGAUCUGAGCAGUCUGAAAAGGGUAUGGGUUUUCUAGGUGUGGUUUCAUAGUUCUGCAGUGUGUUUAUCUGCUACUACAGAUAUCCCUAAAUCUGAAAAAGGGUUGAGAAUAACAACAAAAUAAAAAUAAAAAUAAAAGUGAGCUUGUGUGAGUUAAAUGAAAAUAUGUGAUAAAAUUAUUAAACAGUGCCCAUUUCAACCGAUGCACAUUAUUUAUUCAGACUGCACAUCACACACACAAAAAUAAAGGUCUUUUAAAAAUGUAAGCUUAAAGCUAUAGUCUGUGGAAAUGUAUACUUUAUGUAGAAACAUCUACCAUUCAAAACAAAUGUUGUUAGGGUAAUAGGCAUUUCUGCAUGCAGAGAGAAUUCACACAAACCCAAUCUACAAAGUAGAUGAAUCCAUUAUGUAAAUCUGAAGUUGUCAAAGUGAUCUAUUAUAACUAUUUCUACUGUCAGCUGUUCCACAUAGCACAAAUUCAGGAAUCUACUCAUCCUGAUGACGGA